AUGGGCGCAGCCUGAUGCAGCGACGCCGCGUGAGGGAUGGAGGCCUUCGGGUUGUAAACCUCUUUCGCCAGUGAAGCAGGCCUGUCCCUUUUGUGGGUGGGUUGACGGUAGCUGGAUAAGAAGCGCCGGCUAACUACGUGCCAGCAGCCGCGGUAAUACGUAGGGCGCGAGCGUUGUCCGGAAUUAUUGGGCGUAAAGAGCUCGUAGGCAGCUGGUCGCGUCUGUCGUGAAAUCCUCUGGCUUAACUGGGGGCUUGCGGUGGGUACGGGCCGGCUUGAGUGCGGUAGGGGAGACUGGAACUCCUGGUGUAGCGGUGGAAUGCGCAGAUAUCAGGAAGAACACCGGUGGCGAAGGCGGGUCUCUGGGCCGUUACUGACGCUGAGGAGCGAAAGCGUGGGGAGCGAACAGGAUUAGAUACCCUGGUAGUCCACGCCGUAAACGUUGGGCACUAGGUGUGGGGGGCCUUUUCCGGGUCUUCCGCGCCGUAGCUAACGCAUUAAGUGCCCCGCCUGGGGAGUACGGCCGCAAGGCUAAAACUCAAAGGAAUUGACGGGGGCCCGCACAAGCGGCGGAGCAUGCGGAUUAAUUCGAUGCAACGCGAAGAACCUUACCAAGGCUUGACAUGUGCCGGUCGGCUCCGGAGACGGGGUUUCCUCCUUGUGGGGCCGGUUCACAGGUGGUGCAUGGUUGUCGUCAGCUCGUGUCGUGAGAUGU
This 714-nucleotide ribosomal RNA is filed under the name Actinomyces sp. oral taxon 175. RNAcentral's name for it is "bacterial SSU rRNA". It matches the Rfam family "Bacterial small subunit ribosomal RNA", at positions 371 to 1075 of the family's 1533-position model. The record is from RNAcentral. Lineage: Bacteria; Bacillati; Actinomycetota; Actinomycetes; Actinomycetales; Actinomycetaceae.